AUUAACUGAAUACAUAGGUUAAUGAGGCGAACCGGGGGAACUGAAACAUCUAAGUACCCCGAGGAAAAGAAAUCAACCGAGAUUCCGAAAGUAGCGGCGAGCGAAAUUGGACUAGCCCUUAAGCUUUACACGCGUUAGACGAACGGUCUGGAAAGUCCGACGAUACAGGGUGAUAGUCCCGUAGUUGACGACGUGUGUUCAGUGAAAUCGAGUAGGGCGGGACACGUGAUAUCCUGUCUGAAUAUGGGGGGACCAUCCUCCAAGGCUAAAUACUACUGACUGACCGAUAGUGAACCAGUACCGUGAGGGAAAGGCGAAAAGAACCCCUGUGAGGGGAG
RNAcentral lists this ribosomal RNA (338 nucleotides) under Vibrio parahaemolyticus. RNAcentral's name for it is "partial 23S ribosomal RNA". It matches the Rfam family "Bacterial large subunit ribosomal RNA", at positions 153 to 538 of the family's 2925-position model. The record is from RNAcentral. Lineage: Bacteria; Pseudomonadati; Pseudomonadota; Gammaproteobacteria; Vibrionales; Vibrionaceae.